GACGAACGCUGGCGGCGUGCUUAACACAUGCAAGUCGAACGGACAGGCCCCUUUGGGGGUACUCGAGUGGCGAACGGGUGCGUAACACGUGCGUAACCUGCCCUUGACUUUGGGAUUACUUCAGGAUACUGGGGCUAAUACCGGAUCGGAAUCCUUGCUGCAUGGUGGGGGUUCGAAAGCUUCGGCCGGUUUGGCUGGCCUUGAGACUUAUCAGCUUGUUGCGGGGGUUGUGGCUUACCAAAGCUUUUACGGGUAGCCGGCCUGCGUAGGCGACCUGCCACACUGACACUGAGAGACGGCCCAGACUCCGACGGGAGGCAGCAGGGGGGAAGAUUGCACAAGGGGCGGAAGGCGGAUGCAGCAAGGCCGCGGGCGGGAGGACGGUCUUCGGGUUGUAAACCGCUUUCAGCAGGGGCGAAGCUUGUGGUGACGGUACCUGCAGAAGAAGCACCGGCUAACUACGUG
This 465-nucleotide ribosomal RNA is filed under the name uncultured bacterium. RNAcentral describes it as "partial 16S ribosomal RNA". It matches the Rfam family "Bacterial small subunit ribosomal RNA", at positions 28 to 507 of the family's 1533-position model. The record is from RNAcentral.